GGGAGAAUCGCUUGAACCCGGGAGGGGGAGGUUGUAGUGAGCUGAGAUUGUGCCACUGCACUCCAGCCUGGGCAACAGAGCAAGACUCCGUCUCAAAAAAAAAAAAAAAAAAAAAAAAAAAAAAAAGUGGUUGUGUUCUGACGGCUCUGCUCUCAUGAAUGCAUUAGUCCAUUAAUGGGUUAAUGGGUAAAUGAGUAACAGGUUAUCAUGGUGGUGGCAUUAAUGGCUUUAUAAGAGGAGAAAGAGACACCUGGGCUAGCACACUCAGCCCCUCACGUGAUACCCUGUGCUGCAGAGAGUCCCCACCAGCAGGAAGGCCCUCAUCAGAUGUGGUGCCUUAACCUUAGAUUUCUCAGCCUCCAUAAUGGAAGAAAUAAAUUCCCUUUCUUUACAAAUGACCCGGCCUCAGGAAUUCUGUUAUAAGCAACAGAAAAUGGACAAAGACAAUAGCAUUAUUUAGUGAGAUAAAUUCACAGCAGUGUGUAGUAAAAUGAAUGUUUCUCCUUGGUGAUGGAAUCCUAAUUUUAGAAAAUUGUUUUUCCAAGUGUGAGGGGAAAUAUUGUGCCUUAUCCUCCUUCCUGUCAUGCAGUCAUAAUGGCUGGUGCUUCAGCACCAUUUUGGCCCAUAAGGUACUUCACAAAGGAUGGCAGAGCAGGAAAAUGGUUACUUAGUAAGCAGGUAUAGAAACUUGUGUGCCAGGACUUGCCUUUAGUGUUUUAAAAAUAUUAACCCAUUUUGUCCUCAUAGCAACCACAUGAGGUAAUAAGGUCUACUGUUCUCAAGUCCAUCCUAUAUUUGUCCUUUCUUGCAUUGCUAUAAAGAAAUAACUGAGGCAGGGCACCACAGUGGCUCACGUCUGUAGUCCUAGCACUUUGGGAAGCUGAGGUGGGUGGACUGCCUGAGUUCAGUUCCAGACAAGCCUGGGCAACAGGGUGAAACCCCGUCUCUACUAAAAUACAAAAAAUUAGCUGGGUGUGGUGGUGGGUGCCUGUAAUCCCAGCUACUUGGGUGGCUGAGACAGUAGAAUCGUUUGAACCCAGGAGGUGAAGUUUGCAGUGAACUCACAUCAUGCCAUUGCACUCCAGCCUGGGCAACAGAGCAAGACUCCAUCUCAAAAAAAAAAAAAUCCCCAAAACCCCAAAAAUUAGCUGGGUGUGAUGGUGUGCACCUGUAGUCCCAGCUAGUCAGGAGGCUGAGGCAGGAGAAUCGCUUGAACCCAGGAGGCAGAGGUUGCAGUGAGCUGAGAUAGCACCAUUGAACUCCAGCCAGUGUGACAAGAGCAAAACUGUCUCAAAAAAAUUAAAUAAUAGAUACUGCAUUAUUUGGGUAUUUUCCAAUAAAUAUAUAUUGUAGGAAAACAUUUUUGCUAAAAAAAACUGUGUCCUUUUUAGAAAAGGUAAACAAGUUUUGUCUAAUUCAAAAUUUAUUUAAAUGUUAUGUAUACAACAGGGUAAAAGGAAUCAGGAAAUAAAAACAGAGAUAAAGUUAUAAAAAUAGUUUUUUUUUGUCAUAAGAAAGCUUAAAGAGAAAUAAUUUUUUUAUGGUAAAUUUAGUCCUAAAAUAAAAUGACUGGUUGUUUAAGAAGGAGGAAUAUUCAGGACAAAACAAAGUCCAAGCAUGUCAUGAACAGUCAGUGUUAAGUCUCAAUAAGAGGAUAUAUGUAUUAAAAAAAACCUGAAACUUUAAUAUGAUCAAGUUGUCAUUAUUAAGUUUUGGUUUGCUUAGGAAAAAAAACUGGGAUAAAAAUUUUUUAAAUUAAGUUUAUUACAUCCACGUAUCUUCCUGUAUGUGCUUUUAAAGUGCUUGUGACACUGAAUUACAGGGCUUUGACUCCUGGGUCUAAAAAGGACACCUAGUCCUGCUAAGUCUUAAACAUUGACAGCAAUUGAAGCCUCAUCUACAGGCCCAUAGAAGAUGCCAGUCAAAAUAAACUCAUUCCUGAGACACAGAGUAAAAAAUUAAAGCUGUUCAACUCCUCAAGGCCCAGAGACUAUUGUGGAAGAGGUGGGUGCAUGAGAUUGUAAGAGCGAAUUUUGAAAGAUAAAAUAAGUUCAAUUUAUCUAUAAAUUAAUCAUUAAUAUCAAAGGUACACUGAUGCAAGACAAGCAUUUGGGCCCCUGUGUCAGAUUAACAAGGUUUUCUUGAAGCAUUAACUGGCUCUUUAAUAAAGGUUAUAAAGGGUAUAAAAGGCAUACGAAGCUAUAUCUUAUGAUCAAGAUUAAAAUUUUAUAGAUUGUUUAUAAAAUUUUGAACAACAAAUUUAAUUAGAUUCAUGCUGUUUUUAUUAGGGAUUAUUGUUUGGAAAAUUAAGUCUCCUCUCUCAAAGAAUAAAGGUUUUCACCUUUUUCCUGAAAUCCUUGUUAUCACUUUGGUUAAGUGAAUGACUUAUUUUAUUUUUAUUGAAAUGGAGUCUUGCUCUGUUGCCCAGGCUGGAGUGCAGUGGUGCAAUCUCAGCUUACCGCAACCUCCAACUUAUGGGUUCAAGCAAUUCUCCUGCCUCAACCUCCGAGUAGCUGGGACUACAGGUGUCCACCACCACACCAAGCUACUUUCUGUAUUUUUGGUAGAGAUGGGGUUUCGCCGUGUUGGCCAGGCUGGUCUUGAACUCCUGACCUUGGGUGAUCUGCCCACUUCAGCCUCCCAAAGUGCUGGGAUUACAGGCAUGAGCUACCAUGCCCAGCAUGAAUGACUUACAAUGACCUGGGAUCCUACUUUGUGAUAUCAAGUGUCUUAAACCUUUCAUAUUUGACAAACUUUCCAAAAUCAAAUGAUAAAUUAUGUCUUUUUCUGACCUAAUUAAUCCUUUAAGAUAUUAGGUUCCCUAAAGUCCAAACAAUGACAUAAUUUGGUUUAUUUAGUACAAAAAGUAUACAGGAAGCAUUGUCAAAUAUGAAAUGGUGUUGGGUUUUCUUUGGGCUGUAUUUGUAUAAAUACGUUAUUGGUAUGUAUUCCAAAAUUUUGGGAAACUCCUAUAAUUCUGAUAUAACUUAGUGUACAUUAUCAGAAAUAAUCAUAAUUGUUAUGUUAAAAUUAUUGUGUGCCAUAGAGGUAACAAGUUUCCUUGUCAAUUGUGUCUUUGACUAUGGCUGUCCUAAAAUUUUUUGUCAUUCAUGAACAAUUGUCUUAUUUUGGUCCUAUUAAAAUGAUGGUUUUAUAAUCAGCUAUAAAACUCUAACAGGUGCUCUUCAAUGCAGGUUUCUGAUAACUUUGGAGAUUGUGACAUCAGAAUAGAGGAAAAGCUUUCAGGACUCAUAGAGAGCUAAAAUGUUCAUGAGUAUCAAGCAGAACAGGAAUUACCUGUAUGGACUGAACUAAUCUUUUUGACUUUUUGCUUAAAAUGUUUGCUGAUCCUUUGUUUUGUUUUUCAGAGUCUUAAGACUUUUCUUUUAAACUAUUGACAGCUUUUAACAAUUUAGUAUACUUUUAACAAUUUGGUAUACUCAUUACAGAAAAUAAUGUUUUUAAAUUGUUUUCCUUCUUUUUUUCAAUUUUUUUUCUAAUUUGGAAUCACUGAAAACUAAGCUGUUUUUUCUUAAAGCCCUGUGAACUGAAACCAGAUAACUUAAACUUCAGAAGAAAGUAACAGCAACAUAUUUACAUACAUAAGCCACUUUCAUACCUGCCUACUGAUGUAUAGACUUCAGAGUAAUGUGGCCUAUAUGAAUUUUUCAGGAUUGUUCUUUUGUUUGUUGUUGUUUUUCUCCCUUCCUCCCCCUAUUUUCUCUUCACAGGACAUGAGACUUCAUAACAUGCUGAAAAGGAGCUUUUGGGACCUGCCCAUCUAGGAAUAAACUGUCCUAGCCAUAAGAAAUCACAUAAAACCUAAGAUCAGAGAUCCAUUUUCUUCUAAACUGCUUUCUCCAAAAGAUUUUAAAGACGAAAAGGGGGGAAAUGUGAAAGGAAAAUAUCUUGGGCCCCUAAAAUCCCUAAAAACUAGAAGGAAAAUUCAAGCUGGAAACUGCUCAGUGCAAACCUACCUUUCAUUGUAUUCAAAGUCACCCCUCUGCUCACUGAGAUAGAUGCAUAUCUGAUUGUCUCCUUUGGAAAGGCUUAUCAGAAACUCAAAAUAAUGCAACCAUUUGUCUCUCACCUACCUGUGACAUGGAAGUCUUUUAAAUGCUUGCUCCCGGUGCCAUAAAGAAAUAGCACUUGGACAUAAUUUAAUUUAUUUAGUAAGGCCAUUUUUACUUCCUGUAGAAAAGGUACACUCACCAGCAGUUUUGCCAUGAGAGUACACCGAACAAAGGAGACAGGGUCAUUUAUAACCUGACGCAUCCACCCUACUGUUGUGUCUGGUUUCCAUUGGCUGGAACAGGACCUCACAUUCUGUAUUUGUCCCGACUGGCUAGCACCUUAGAACUUUUUUAAAGAGGCAAAGGCAGAGGAGAACAAAGGAAGGAGGAAGUAACUUGUGGAAUGCUGAGAAAGGUAAAAAAAACUUUUAAAUAAGGAAGAGGAACAGGCUAUGACCUAAUGCUUGCUUGGACCAGUAUAAGCAUGCCAGGGCAAAUAUUUAGGAGCAUAGGUCUUUGAAUAAAUUUUGCUUCUAAGAGAAGUUACUAUUUAUUCCUAGUUACAUGGGGAGGAAAGUCUUUGAAGAGGAACCUCUACUUUUACUUUUUACAGAAGCCUUUGCCUUUCUGGAUGGAACCAGUGUACUUCUUACACAUAUUGAUUAAUGUCUUACGUCUCCCUAAAAUGUAUAAAACCAAGCUGUGCCCUGACCACCUUGGGCACAUGUCAUCAGGACUUCCUGAGGCUGUGUCACAGGCGUGUGCCCUUAACUUUGGCAAAUAAAUUUCCUAAAAUGAGAUUUGUCUCGUCAUUUUUCUCUAUUGACGACUAUACACCUGAAUGUAGGGUCAGCUGAGAGAAAGGACAAGCCAGAGAGACCCAAGUUCAGUCAAGCCUUGAUUAACCUGCCGGCUGCUCCAUUACAGACAGAGGAGGCAGCCCUGAGCUUGCAAAAUGAGGGGUUUAUAUGGGGGAUAGAGACCCUGGGGUCGUUUGUUGGUUAACUUUGCCAUAUAUCACCUUAUGACGUUUAUGGUAGCAGCUAGAUGAAGGAACUUACAGGAGGGUGUAGGUAAAGUUUGUUUAUGCUUCCCAGGACCUCCCACUGUGGGGUACGGAUGGUUUGUAAUUGGGGUUUGUUUAUCGUAGCAAGGCCUGAUAGGUAAAGUCUGCUGGCUUCACCACGGUGCCUAGAUAAGGGCUUAAAAAUGUAAAAAGCUUUCAGGGA
RNAcentral lists this long non-coding RNA (5242 nucleotides) under Homo sapiens (human). Its description in RNAcentral is "HSALNT0404415". The record is from RNAcentral. Lineage: Eukaryota; Metazoa; Chordata; Mammalia; Primates; Hominidae.